CAGUAGCCACGGUAAUACGGAGGGUGCAAGCGUUAAUCGGAAUUACUGGGCGUAAAGCGCACGCAGGCGGUCUGUCAAGUCGGAUGUGAAAUCCCCGGGCUCAACCUGGGAACUGCAUUCGAAACUGGCAGGCUAGAGUCUUGUAGAGGGGGGUAGAAUUCCAGGUGUAGCGGUGAAAUGCGUAGAGAUCUGGAGGAAUACCGGUGGCGAAGGCGGCCCCCUGGACAAAGACUGACGCUCAGGUGCGAAAGCGUGGGGAGCAAACAGGAUUAGAUACCCCGGUAGUCCCUGUCUCUUAUAC
RNAcentral lists this ribosomal RNA (301 nucleotides) under uncultured bacterium. RNAcentral's name for it is "partial 16S ribosomal RNA". It matches the Rfam family "Bacterial small subunit ribosomal RNA", at positions 509 to 807 of the family's 1533-position model. The record is from RNAcentral.